RNAcentral lists this ribosomal RNA (442 nucleotides) under uncultured bacterium. Its description in RNAcentral is "partial 16S ribosomal RNA". It matches the Rfam family "Bacterial small subunit ribosomal RNA", at positions 338 to 795 of the family's 1533-position model. The record is from RNAcentral.
CCUACGGGGUGCUGCAGUGGGGAAUAUUGCACAAUGGGGGAAACCCUGAUGCAGCAACGCCGCGUGAAGGAAGACGGUUUUCGGAUUGUAAACUUCUGUUCUUAGUGAAGAAUAAUGACGGUAGCUAAGGAGCAAGCCACGGCUAACUACGUGCCAGCAGCCGCGGUAAUACGUAGGUGGCAAGCGUUGUCCGGAAUUACUGGGUGUAAAGGGAGCGCAGGUGGCAUAAUAAGUAGCUAGUGAAAUCUGGUGGCUCAACCAUUCAGACUAUUAGCUAAACUGUUAAGCUCGAGACCGUUAGGGGUAACUGGAAUUUCUAGUGUAGGAGUGAAAUCCGUAGAUAUUAGAAGGAACACCAAUAGCGUAGGCAGGUUACUGGGACGGUUCUGACACUAAGGCACGAAAGCGUAGGGAGCAAACGGGAUUAGAUACCCUGGUAGUC